AAGUCGUAACAAGGUUUCCGUAGGUGAACCUGCGGAAGGAUCAUUAUUGAGAUCUUCAGUUGUGCUGGCCCUUGGGCAAGUGCACGCUGAAUAUUUAAACCACACCUGUGCAUUCAACGCGGCGAAAGCUGCUUUAUAUACACUACCAGUAACAUCAGAACGUUUAUUGUUGGCAAAUUAUAAUAACUUUCAACAACGGAUCUCUUGGCUCUC
RNAcentral lists this unclassified non-coding RNA (213 nucleotides) under air metagenome. RNAcentral's name for it is "partial contains small subunit ribosomal RNA, internal transcribed spacer 1, and 5.8S ribosomal RNA". The stretch from base 1 to 46 matches the Rfam family "Eukaryotic small subunit ribosomal RNA", at positions 1786 to 1831 of the family's 1831-position model. The record is from RNAcentral.